Molecule: ribosomal RNA, 358 nt
Filed under: uncultured bacterium
Lineage: Bacteria
Description: bacterial SSU rRNA
Rfam family: Bacterial small subunit ribosomal RNA
Source: RNAcentral
ACUCCUACGGGAGGCAGCAGUGGGGGAAUAUUGCACAAUGGGGGAAACCCUGAUGCAGCCAUGCGCGUGUGUGAAGAAGGCCUUCGGGGUUGUAAAAGCACUUUCAGUAGGGAGGAAGGUAGUGUAGUUAACACCUGCAUUAUUUGACGUUACCUACAGAAGAAGCACCGGCUAACUCCGUGCCAGCAGCCGCGGUAAUACGGAGGGUGCGAGCGUUAAUCGGAAUUACUGGGCGUAAAGCGCAUGCAGGCGGCCUGUUAAGUCAGAUGUGAAAAGCCCGGGGGCUUAACCUCGGAAUUGCAUUUGAAACUGGCAGGCUAGAGUCUUGUAGAGGGGGGGUAGAAUUUCAGGGUGUAGC